RNAcentral lists this ribosomal RNA (263 nucleotides) under uncultured bacterium. RNAcentral describes it as "partial 16S ribosomal RNA". It matches the Rfam family "Bacterial small subunit ribosomal RNA", at positions 93 to 354 of the family's 1533-position model. The record is from RNAcentral.
CGACGGCGCACGGGUGNGUAACGCGUAUGCAACCUGCCCGUUUCAGCGGGAUAACCCGGAGAAAUCCGGCCUAAUACCGCAUGUGGCCAGGGAGGCAUCUUCUUUCGGCCAAAGGAGGCGACUCCGGAGACGGAUGGGCAUGCGUGACAUUAGCUUGUUGGCGGGGUAACGGCCCACCAAGGCGACGAUGUCUAGGGGUUCUGAGAGGAAGGUCCCCCACACUGGUACUGAGACACGGACCAGACUCCUACGGAAGGCAGCAG